This 253-nucleotide ribosomal RNA is filed under the name uncultured bacterium. RNAcentral's name for it is "partial 16S ribosomal RNA". It matches the Rfam family "Bacterial small subunit ribosomal RNA", at positions 524 to 776 of the family's 1533-position model. The record is from RNAcentral.
UACGGGGGGGGCAAGCGUUGUUCGGAAUUACUGGGCGUAAAGGGCUCGUAGGCGGCCAACUAAGUCAGACGUGAAAUCCCUCGGCUUAACCGGGGAACUGCGUCUGAUACUGGAUGGCUUGAGUUUGGGAGAGGGAUGCGGAAUUCCAGGUGUAGCGGUGAAAUGCGUAGAUAUCUGCAGGAACACCCGUGGCGAAAGCGGCGCGCUGGACCACUACUGACGCUGAGGAACGAAAGCUAGGGGAGCAAACAGG